GUAGGGAAUCUUCGGCAAUGGACGAAAGUCUGACCGAGCAACGCCGCGUGAGUGAAGAAGGUUUUCGGAUCGUAAAACUCUGUUGGUAGAGAAGAACGUUGGUGAGAGUGGAAAGCUCAUCAAGUGACGGUAACUACCCAGAAAGGGACGGCUAACUACGUGCCAGCAGCCGCGGUAAUACGUAGGUCCCGAGCGUUGUCCGGAUUUAUUGGGCGUAAAGCGAGCGGAGGUGGUUUAUUAAGUCUGGUGUAAAAGGCAGUGGCUCAACCAUUGUAUGCAUUGGAAACUGGUAGACUUGAGUGCAGGAGAGGAGAGUGGAAUUCCAUGUGUAGCGGUGAAAUGCGUAGAUAUAUGGAGGAACACCGGUGGCGAAAGCGGCUCUCUGGCCUGUAACUGACACUGAGGCUCGAAAGCGUGGGGAGCAAACAGGAUUAGAUACCCCAGUAGUCC
Molecule: ribosomal RNA, 450 nt
Filed under: uncultured bacterium
Lineage: Bacteria
Description: partial 16S ribosomal RNA
Rfam family: Bacterial small subunit ribosomal RNA
Source: RNAcentral